Molecule: unclassified non-coding RNA, 418 nt
Filed under: soil metagenome
Description: partial contains 5.8S ribosomal RNA, internal transcribed spacer 2, and large subunit ribosomal RNA
Rfam family: 5.8S ribosomal RNA (bases 1-120)
Source: RNAcentral
GAUGAAGAACGUAGCGAAAUGCGAUAAGUAAUGUGAAUUGCAGAAUUCAGUGAAUCAUCGAAUCUUUGAACGCAUCUUGCGCUCCUUGGUAUUCCUUGGAGCAUGCCUGUUUGAGUAUCAUGAGCAAAUCUCAAAGUCAAUUCCUUUUGUUGAUUCAAUUGGUUUUGCUUUGGACUUGGAGGCCUUGCAGAUUUCACAGUCUGCUCCUCUUAAAUGCAUUAGCUGGAUCUCAGUAAUUAUGCUUGGUUCCACUCGGCGUGAUAAGUAUCACUCGCUGAGGACACUGUUAAAAAGGUGGCCAGGAAAAUACUGAUUGAACCGCUUCUAACGGUCUAUUAAGUUAGACAAUUACCCUUAAGUUUGAUCUCAAAUCAGGUAGGACUACCCGCUGAACUUAAGCAUAUUAAUAAGCGGAGGA